This 337-nucleotide small RNA is filed under the name Arabidopsis thaliana (thale cress). RNAcentral's name for it is "ATSL207740". The record is from RNAcentral. Lineage: Eukaryota; Viridiplantae; Streptophyta; Magnoliopsida; Brassicales; Brassicaceae.
GGCUUGUUAAAAACAUCAUAAAUUUGUAUUUCACCAACACUCCUUACAUAACCGAGUAUGCCUGUAAAAAAAAAGAAAUUUUAACAGAAGUUGAAGAAAAAAAAUUGCUCUCACCGUUUGUCAAAGUGAGAAAUGGUUUCCACAGUUUGUCUUUUCAAUCAAUUUCGGACAAAAAUACCCUGGGAAAAUUUCUUAAUGGCAUCAACCAAACCGUACAGCAGUUGGUAUCGGUUUAGUUGAUGCGGUUCAGUUUUGAAAACGACAAAAAAAAACGAAACAAAAAAACCGAAGAAGAAGAAAAAGAGAAGAGAGAAACAGAAAGAUUUGAGAGAGAAUU